CAUGUAGGUGGUUAUUUAAGUCAGGUGUUAAAGCUAGAAGCUCAACUUCUAUUCGCGCCUGAAACUAAAUAACUUUGAGAUUGGGAGAGGAUAGCGGAACUCACAGUGUAGCGGUGAAAUGCGUAGAUAUUGUGAGGAACACCAGUGGCGAAGGCGGCUAUCUGGACCAAUACUGACACUGAGAUGCGAAAGCAUGGGGAGCAAACAGGAUUAGAUACCCUGGUAGUCC
This 229-nucleotide ribosomal RNA is filed under the name uncultured bacterium. RNAcentral's name for it is "partial 16S ribosomal RNA". It matches the Rfam family "Bacterial small subunit ribosomal RNA", at positions 568 to 796 of the family's 1533-position model. The record is from RNAcentral.